GUCGCUUCCCCGCCCUGCAGCGCGCGGAGGUGGCCGUGCGGUGGGGCAGAAGCCGGGUUAGGCCGAAGCCACAUGGAAUAGGAUGACUCAUUGUCGGCCCUAGGCCACUAGACGUGGCCCCGGCGCCGGCCGCCGAGGUCCGCAGCACCUUCCUCCCGUGGUCUGGGGCCGUCCCCCAGGACUCUGGCCGCACUGACAGGGCGCCUCUGGCCCCGGCUUCAGAAGGUGACCUCUGGAUCUCCCCUGGAUCUCUGGGGCGGGUCUGGGACGUCCCCGGAUCCCCAGUUUGGAUCCUUCUGGGGAUGCCCGUGAGGAGGCAGCGGAGCCGAGGCCCCAUACGUGGGCUGAUGUGUUCGAAUGGUACACCACUGCUCAGCCUAGAAGACCAGUGCCCCCCCAGAGAUUUCUGCCUCGCAGGGGAGGCCUCGGGACACCGCCACCCAGCUCUUGCUCCUGCCCACGCUCACGGGCGCGGUGCAUCUGCCUUCUCUCAGACCUGUCAGGCUGCGCCUGUUCUGUGCCUUGUGGUUCCACCAAAGCCGAAUACUAAACAGGAACCCCCACGACCAUGAGACAUUUCUGUGUGGAGUGAGUCAGACUCGGAUCCUGCAGGACAGACAGAUGCGACCCACCCAGAACCCAGCUGAGAAUCACUAAACUGCGGGGACUCCCCAACCUGUUGGUCACCGUUGAGCAGGGCGCUGGGUGGAGGACCGGGACUAACUCUCAAGCUUUGGACCCCUGUGAGAUCAACGCUCUUCUACUUACGAUAAAAAUGUGAAUCACUUAAAAAUUGCUCUUUUUGGCUAAAAUCUAUUAAAAUAUUUUAAGGGGCUAAAAAUAAUCAAAUCCUCAGAGAUUGAUUACCAUCACUCCUAAGAGUCUUAAAAGAAAAUAUCCCAUCAAAGAGUUCUAAAUAAAGACAAGCAGAAAAAAAUCAGACACAAAAGAGCCCAUGAUCAUUUUUAUUCUUUAUUAGUAUCGUUUGAGGUCUUCAACAAUUUUGCUUCAAACUGAGAUCUUCUCUGCAAAGAAACACUUCUGAGGAACUGAACUGUAAUCGAGGCUAUGAAAAAGCCAUCUUUCUGAGAUGAGUUCAGAUACGGAUUCCCAGGGAUCAUUUGUGCAAAGAGGCUCUUACAGGGGAUGCUGGUAAAUCACAGUGGUUUGGCCUUUUCCCUCGUGCUUUUAGCUGACAAAAUCCUUUGCUGUGAAAGCUUUACUACACCAUCCAUUUUACCCAAGGAUAAAAUCUUAGAGGAAUAAUCUUUCUUUGAUGCUUCUUUUUCUGGGCUAUUUCCUAUUUCAUCAUUAUUUUGUGUCUUCCAUCGAGUCUUUUCCUCAGCAGAAAUGGAAAUUAUGGGUUUCAAGACCUUUUUCCCUUUUCCGGAAUCCCAUUUUGAUUUAUCUGAGACUGUUUGAGGUGCCAAGACCAUGAUUUUAGCCCUCUGAAGCUUAUCCUCGUUCGUGCACAUUGCAGAGCUGUAUCAGAACUGCACGAGAACUCUGAGAGCUGUGGUAGGUCAAUUUCACCUAGUGCUCACACUGUGAGGCGCCAUUCCUAGAACCCUCGGAAUAUUGUUGGCUCAUGCCUUGAGGCCAACAUCUCCUGCCCUGGAUGUGCUGUUUCUCUCAGAAGGCUGCAAAGAUCAAAAGUUAUCAAGAGGUCAUAUAUAUACCAUGAAUAACCAGAAGCAUGCUUCUUUUCAAGACAUAGAACAGAAACUCACUGUAGGAUUCCAUGGACCAACGAAUGAGAAGAUACCAGGAAGAUUAGCCCUGAGCUAACAUCUGCUGCCAAUCCCCAUCUCUUUGCUGAGGAAGACUGGCCCUGAACUAACAUGCGUGCCCAUCUUCCUCUACUUUAUAUGUGGGACACGUACCACAGCAUGGCUUGCCAAGCGGUGCCAUGUCCACACCCAGGAUCCCAACCGACGAACCCCAGGCCACCGAAGUGGAACGUGUGCACUUAACUGCUGCGCCACCAGUCCGGUCCCUUUUCUAAUCUUUAUUGUAUUGAAGUUUAAAUCUGUUCCUCUUGUUUCACAUAUUUGCUGUCACCAAUAGGUAGAUUUUUCCAGUGCCAGCCCUGUGUUUAUUUCCUCCACGGCUCACAGCUGCAACUCAGGUGGUUGUCACCAGGUAACGAGGAAAAUCUCAGGUAUUGGCAGAGACACUCAGGAAGUUCCCCUGAACGAGUCCAGACUCUGUUGACACCACCCAACAAUGAGCUUCCCCACUGUACUCGGGUUAAGAAGAGACAAUCAGAGCCUAUAUUCUCCAUCCAGAAGACAGGCUGCACUGUGUCAUGAGGAGGAAGGAGUAUACAGUACCUAAAGGGUCUUUGUUGCAAGUGUCUUUUUGUUUAAGUAUACUAUGUCUAAAUUUUCUCUGUCAGAAGUCCUUCAGUUUGAGAAAUUAAGCUUGUUUGCUCAUUCUUUCAAUAAAUGUAUAUCUAUAAACAGAUUAGGGAUGAAGAAAGCUGUCUACACUGUCCCAAACAAAGUAAAAGUUUGCAAUUGGUUGUCUCCAUGAGCCUUCAAUUUCUGCCUUAAAGAAAACAAUAAAAGAGGUUACGUGUGUGUGUUUGGGGCCAUGGUAGUUGUGGGGCGAGCCUUCCCUCCACCUUUCUCCACUGAGACCAUGGGCUACUCUGCUC
Molecule: long non-coding RNA, 2659 nt
Filed under: Equus asinus (donkey)
Lineage: Eukaryota; Metazoa; Chordata; Mammalia; Perissodactyla; Equidae
Description: lncRNA (ENSEASG00005034436.1)
Source: RNAcentral